UUGGAUACAUGAUUACGUGAUAAAUGCUUAUUAAAGAUACAAUGAUGAUUAUGUUUAGAAUGAUUAUGAUCAAGAUUGAUUAGGAUGUUAAUUUUAUGAUUCUUAAUUGCAUUGAUUAACGUUAUUCUGUUAUGAAAUCUCACCCCUUCUGUUUGAAUGUUACCUCGACCGUGGGUAACGUGCAGGUGAUCGAGCUUAGUGUGCUGUCUCCGUCGUGAGUGGCCUUGCCUUCACUGUGUCGUCUAGGUCGCUCUGAUACGUAACGGGAUGGGGUUUAAUGUUAUACAUGCUUCAUUCUCUUACGUGAAUAAUAAGUUAUUUUUAUAAGUUAUGGAUUAUGAACUAUUUUGAUGGGGCCUACGUGCCAAACUGAUUUAUGACUUUCGAAUUAAUAUUCCGCUGCUAUGUUAAAGAUAUUUGGUGAAGGUUAAAUUAUGAUUUAACUGUUUUUGGAUUAUGUUUCUAUGUGAUAUCCCGUUUACGGUUUUUACUCUGAUAAUUGUUUAAGAAAUUUGUAUAUUGGGAAAACGGGGUGUUACAAUUGGUAUCAGAGCAGGUCGGUCCGUCCGGUCAAUUAGAGAGUUGUGUCGAGUCUUAGUAAUAUUAUAUUACUAUCUUAUACUGUUGUUGCUACUUUUGUAGAAUAUCAGAAUGGCUGGAAGGAACGAUGCUGCGUUAGCUGCUGCUCUACAAGCUGUUGCCCAAGCUGUGGGACAACAACCUAACGUGAAUGCUGGUGCAAAUGCUGAAGCUAGAAUGUUGGAGACGUUCAUGAAGAAGAACCCUCCGAUUUUCAAAGGACGCUAUGACCCUGAUGGAGCCCAGACGUGGCUUAAGGAGAUUGAGAGGAUUUUCCGGGUUAUGCAGUGCACGGAGGAUCAGAAAGUGCGGUUUGGUACUCAUCAGCUGGCCGAUGAAGCUGAUGACUAGUGGGUUGCUCUUCUGCCUACUCUUGGGCAGGAGGGAGCUGUUGUGACUUGGGUUGUUUUCAGGAGGGAGUUCCUGAGAAGAUACUUUCCGGAAGAUGUUCGCGGAAAGAAGGAGAUCGAAUUCCUUGAGCUGAAGCAAGGAAAUAUGUCUGUGACAGAGUAUGCUGCCAAGUUCGUGGAACUGUCAAAGUUCUAUCCGCACUAUACUGCUGAGAGUGCUGAGUUCUCGAGAUGUAUCAAGUUCGAGAAUGGUCUGAGGCCCGACAUUAAGAGGGCGAUUGGGUAUCAACAGCUGAGAGUUUUUCCAGAUUUGGUUAACAGCUGCAGGAUCUAUGAGAAGGAUACCAAGGCUCACUACAAGGUAGUGAAUGAGAGGAAGGGCAAGGGACAGCAGAGUCGUCCUAAGCCGUACAGUGCCCCCCUGACAAAGGGAAACAGAAGAUGGUCGAUGUUAGGCGGCCUAAGAAGAAGGAUGCUGCAGAGAUUGUGUGCUUCAACUGUGGCGAGAAAGGCCACAAGAGCAACGUCUGUCCUGAGGAAAUCAAGAAGUGUGUCCGGUGUGGUAAGAAGGGUCAUGUGGUGGCUGAUUGCAAUCGUACAGACACUGUGUGCUUUAAUUGCAAUGCAGAGGGUCACAUUAGUUCUCAGUGUACUCAGCCUAAGAGGGCGCCGACUACUGGUAGGGUCUUUGCUUUGACUGGGACUCAGACAGAGAAUGAGGAUCGUUUGAUCAGAGGUACUUGCUAUAUUAAUAAUACUCCUUUAGUUGCUAUUAUUGAUACUGGUGCUACGCAUUGCUUUAUUGCUUUCGAUUGUGUUUCUGCUUUGGGUCUUGAGUUGUCUGAUAUGAAUGGAGAGAUGAUUGUCGAAACUCCAGCUAAGGGUUCGGUGACUACUUCUCUCGUAUGUUUGAAAUGUCCUUUGUCUAUGUUUGGUCGUGAUUUUGAAAUGGAUUUAGUUUGUCUACCUUUGAGUGGUAUGGAUGUGAUUUUGGGUAUGAACUGGUUGGAGUACAAUCACGUUCUUAUUAAUUGUUUUAGCAAGUCAGUACAUUUCUCUUCCGUCGAAGAGGAAAGUGGUGCAGAGUUUUUGUCUACCAAACAGCUGAAGCAACUGGAACGCGAUGGUAUCUUGAUGUUUUCCUUGAUGGCUUCUUUAUCUGUUGAGAAUCAAGCAGUGAUUGAUAGGCUACCAAUGGUGUGUGAAUUUCCUGAAGUUUUUCCAGAUGAGAUUCCUGAUGUGCCUCCAGAGAGAGAAGUCGAGUUUUCUAUUGAUCUUGUUCCUGGAACGAAACCGGUCUCGAUGGCACCUUAUCGUAUGUCUGCUUCAGAAUUAUCUGAGUUGAAGAAACAGUUGGAGGAUUUGCUUGAAAAGAAGUUUGUUAGACCAAGUGUUUCACCUUGGGGAGCGCCGGUUUUGCUAGUAAAGAAGAAAGAUGGUACUAUGCGGUUGUGUAUUGAUUAUCGGCCGUUGAACAAAGUAACUAUCAAGAAUAGGUAUCCACUUCCGAGAAUUGAUGAUUUGAUGGAUCAGUUAGUGGGUGCACGAGUUUUCAGCAAGAUUGAUUUGAGAUCGGGUUAUCACCAGAUUAAAGUAAAAGAUGAGGAUAUGCAGAAGACAGCUUUCAGAACGCGUUAUGGUCACUAUGAAUACAAAGUUAUGCCUUUCGGUGUGACCAAUGCACCUGGAGUGUUUAUGGAGUAUAUGAAUCGCAUCUUCCAUGCAUUUUUGGAUCGGUUCGUGGUUGUGUUCAUCGACGAUAUUUUGAUUUACUCCAAGACUGAAGAAGAACAUGCGGAACAUCUGAAGAUUGUCUUACAGGUGUUGAAAGAGAAGAAACUUUAUGCUAAAUUGUCUAAGUGUGAAUUCUGGUUGAAUGAAGUGAGUUUCCUUGGCCAUGUUAUUUCCGGAGAUGGUAUUGCUGUGGAUCCGUCUAAAGUCGAAGCUGUAUCGCAAUGGGAUACUCCUAAGUCCGUUACUGAGAUUAGAAGCUUUUUGGGUUUAGCCGGUUACUACAGAAGAUUUAUUGAAGGGUUUUCUAAGUUAGCUCUUCCGCUUACACAGUUGACUUGUAGAGGUAAGACCUUUGUGUGGGGCGUUCAUUGUGAGAGGAGUUUCGCUGAAUUGAAGAAACGUUUGACGACUGCUCCAGUUUUGAUUUUGCCGAAGCCCGAAGAACCUUUUGUGGUAUAUGGUGAUGCGUCCAAGUUGGGUUUAGGAGGUGUGCUUAUGCAAGAAGGUAAAGUGGUAGCUUAUGCUUCAAGACAGUUGAGAGUUCAUGAGAAGAAUUAUCCUACGCAUGAUCUCGAGUUGGCGGCUGUAGUCUUUGUGUUGAAAAUAUGGAGACAUUAUUUGUAUGGUUCGAGGUUUGAGGUGUUUAGUGAUCACAAGAGUUUGAAGUAUUUGUUCGAUCAGAAGGAAUUGAAUAUGAGGCAGCGAAGAUGGCUAGAGUUGCUAAAGGAUUAUGACUUUGGUUUGAAUUAACAUCCGGGUAAAGCUAAUGUUAUUGCAGAUGCCUUGAGUAGGAAGACAUUGCAUAUGUCCGCCAUGAUGGUCAGAGAGUUUGAGUUACUUGAACAGUUCCGAGAUAUGAGUUUGGUUUGUGAAUGGUCACCUCAGAGUGUGAAACUGGGUAUGCUGAAGAUGGAUAGUGAAUUUCUGAAAAGCAUCAAAGAAGCACAGAGGGAUGAUGUGAAGUUUGUGGAUUUGUUGGUUGCUAGAGAUCAGGCUGAAGACAGUGAUUUUAAAAUCGAUGAUCAAGGCGUGUUGAGAUUCCGAGGGAGAAUUUGUAUUCCAGACGACGAAGAGAUUAAGAAGAUGAUUCUUGAAGAGAGUCAUAGAAGUAGCUUGAGUAUUCACCCGGGAGCUACGAAGAUGUAUCAUGAUCUAAAGAAGAUUUUCUGGUGGUCUGGUUUGAAACGAGAUGUGGCACAGUUUGUGUAUUCCUGCUUAGUUUGUCAGAAGUCAAAGGUCGAGCAUCAGAAACCCGCUGGGAUGAUGGUACCUUUGGAUGUGUCGGAAUGGAAAUGGGAUAGUAUAUCGAUGGAUUUUGUGACGAGUUUGCCGAAUACUCCGAGAGGGAGCGAUGCAAUUUGGGUUAUAGUUGAUAGAUUGACAAAGUCAGCUCAUUUCCUACCUAUUAAUAUUAGUUUCCCUGUUGCCCAGUUGGCAGAGAUUUACAUCAGAGAGAUUGUGAAGCUGCAUGGUGUUCCUUCGAGCAUUGUAUCAGAUAGAGAUCCAAGAUUUACUUCUAGAUUUUGGAAAAGUUUGCAAGAGGCUUUGGGUUCGAAGUUGAGAUUGAGUUCGGCGUAUCAUCCACAGACGGAUGGUCAGUCGGAGAGGACAAUUCAGUCGCUAGAGGAUUUGUUGAGAAUUUGUGUUCUUGAGCAAGGAUGAACUUGGGAUAGUCAUCUUCCGUUGAUCGAGUUCACUUAUAAUAAUAGCUAUCAUUCUAGUAUUGGAAUGGCACCGUUCGAGGCUCUGUAUGGUCGGAGAUGCAGAACUCCGUUGUGUUGGUUUGAGUCAGGUGAAAGAGUGGUCUUAGGACCAGAGAUUGUUCAGCAAACUACUGAGAAAGUUCAGAUGAUCCAAGAGAAAAUGAAAGCGUCGCAGAGUCGACAAAAGAGUUAUCAUGAUAAGCGUAGAAAAGAUCUUGAAUUUCAGGAAGGAGACCACGUGUUUUUGAGAGUCACUCCUGUGACUGGUGUAGGACGUGCUUUGAAGUCGAAAAAGUUGACCCCGAAGUUCAUUGGUCCAUAUCAGAUUUUGGAAAGAGUUGGGACGGUGGCUUACCGAGUGGGUUUACCGCCGCAUCUUUCGAAUUUGCACAAUGUUUUCCAUGUGUCGCAACUUCGAAAGUAUGUUCCGGAUCCAUCUCAUGUAAUUCAGAGCGACGAUGUGCAAGUUAGAGACAACCUUACGGUAGAAACUUUACCGUUGAGGAUUGAUGAUCGUAAAGUGAAGACGUUGAGGGGCAAAGAGAUACCUCUCGUGAGAGUCGUUUGGUCGGGAGCGACUGGCGAAAGCUUGACGUGGGAGCUUGAGAGUAAGAUGCUGGAGUCGUAUCCAGAGUUGUUUACUUAAGGUAAAUUAUUGAGGACGAAAAUCUUUUAAGUGGGGGAGAGUUGUAACGCCCACUUUCGUUUAAUCGUUAUUUAAUCGAGUUUAGGCAAUUAUAUUAUAAUUAUAUAAUAUGUGCAUGACUUUGAUAUGUUUUGAUGAUUUUGAUGAUUUGAUUGAUGACGUGAUAAGUUAUGAGUUUUGGAGGAUAUGAUAAGAUUAGAGGAUUUAUUUUAUUGUUAAAUAAAAUAAAGAUUUGAAAAAUAUUUAGUUGAGGGCUGUUUUGAUAUUUUAGAUAGUUUUGGGGGAGAAAGUGAAAUAAGAUAAGUUAUUAAGGAGAGAUAUAAAAAGGCUAGACCUAGUUUUAGGAAAAACUGAUUGUACGUGAAAACUUUUGGAAAAAGGGAGAAAAGCUUAGAGAGGAGCAAGAGACCAAGAGGGCUGCGAUUUUUCUUCAUACAAGGUAAGGGUGGGACUAAUAACUCAGUAACAAUAAUCUCUGUAAUUCUGAUGAUUAGUUGACAAAGUUAGGAUUGAAUUAGAAAAGUUUUGGAAUUAGGUCAAAACCCUAAAAUUGGAGAAUAAACGGUAAAACUUGUUUAGAUUGGUGAAAGAACCGUCCUUUAAACUUAGAAUAUGUUUAGGAUGGAUUAUGGAAUCAAAAUUAGGCUUUGAACCAUGUUGUUUGUUGAAUUUUUGAAAAAAACCCUAGUCUGCCCGUGCUCCUGUUCAUCGCUCGCCACAGCGAGUGAUGAUCCUCGCCUCGCGAGUGAUGAUCUUCAUCGCUCGCCUCGCGAGCCCUUCCCUUCGCCUCGCGAGCGUUUCUGGUAUCGCUCGCCAUGGCGAGCAACCCUUUCUCGCCUCGCGAGCUUAGGCAGAGUGCAUGUCAUAUUUUGUGUUUCGACCCUUUUAGUUGAAUCUUGUAUGCCUUUGAGUGCCUGAACAUACCUAGUAUUGAUUAGGAAUGAAUGUAGGAUCAGAGGGGACCCAUAACAACCUUAGUUUGGAAGUUGAGUGGUACUCGCCAUGGCGAGUAAGGACUCUCGCCUCGCGGGUACAAUCAGAAUGAACUUGUUUGUGUUUUGUGCGAUCUGUGUCGCACUUGUUGAUCAAGAGUGAACCCUAACUUAUAAUGAGACCUAUAAAUGUCAUUUAAUGCAGACUGUAGAGUUGUUUAAGUCAUAUUAAUAUUAAUUGAAUAUGAACUAUUGAAUUGUAUAUUCAUGCAAGAUAAGAAGAUGUGAUAAUGAUACAAAUUAUGUGCUUUUGAUAUAAUGAUAUCAUCUUGUUAUGUGACCUGUUUAUGCUGCUUCCGUUAUUUAACUAAGUGCAUAAGUAUAUGAUAAAGUUUAGCUCCAAAUUAUUGGAUGCAUGUUGAUAAGUUGAUUACGAUGUUUUGUUCAUAUGUGUCCAUGCAUAGCAUCUCAUUGAGCUUAGUCCUCACCACGAAUAUUAGGAGCUUUGUCCUCCGCACGUUUUAUAGGAGCUUUGUCCUCCGCACGAUUAAAGUAUAUUAAUACUUAUGAUGACGAUUGGUACCACAUGCAUAUAAGGAGUCUAAGAGCAUUGUCACAUUGUCAUGAUUAAGAUGCCUUGUUGAUAAUGAUUGGAUAUGUGAUUACGUGAUAUGUGUUUAUUGAUUUAUGUCUUGUUACUCCUAAUUAUUGGAUACAUGAUUACGUGAUAAAUGCUUAUUAAAGAUACAAUGAUGAUUAUGUUUAGAAUGAUUAUGAUCAAGAUUGAUUAGGAUGUUAAUUUUAUGAUUCUUAAUUGCAUUGAUUAACGUUAUUCUGUUAUGAAAUCUCACCCCUUCUGUUUGAAUGUUACCUCGACCGUGGGUAACGUGCAGGUGAUCGAGCUUAGUGUGCUGUCUCCGUCGUGAGUGGCCUUGCCUUCACUGUGUCGUCUAGGUCGCUCUGAUACGUAACGGGAUGGGG
Molecule: long non-coding RNA, 6925 nt
Filed under: Medicago truncatula (barrel medic)
Lineage: Eukaryota; Viridiplantae; Streptophyta; Magnoliopsida; Fabales; Fabaceae
Description: long non-coding RNA (MTRU_LNC001291)
Source: RNAcentral